Molecule: transfer RNA, 80 nt
Filed under: Streptomyces narbonensis
Lineage: Bacteria; Bacillati; Actinomycetota; Actinomycetes; Kitasatosporales; Streptomycetaceae
Description: tRNA-Gly(ccc)
Source: RNAcentral
GUGCGGUGGAGCAGCGCGAGGAGCCGCGCCGCCUCCUCCCAGGGGGCGGCGUCGGGGUCGUCCGGGGCGACGGGCGCACC